CAGUAGCCGCGGUAAUACGAAGGGUGCAAGCGUUACUCGGAAUUACUGGGCGUAAAGCGUGUGUAGGUGGUUGUUUAAGUCUGUCGUGAAAGCCCUGGGCUCAACCUGGGAAUUGCGAUGGAUACUGGGCGACUAGAGUGCGGUAGAGGAUAGUGGAAUUUCCGGUGUAGCAGUGAAAUGCGUAGAGAUCGGAAGGAACAUCUGUGGCGAAGGCGACUGUCUGGGCCAACACUGACACUGAGACACGAAAGCGUGGGGAGCAAACAGGAUUAGAUACCCCCGUAGUCCCUGUCUCUUAUAC
Molecule: ribosomal RNA, 301 nt
Filed under: uncultured bacterium
Lineage: Bacteria
Description: partial 16S ribosomal RNA
Rfam family: Bacterial small subunit ribosomal RNA
Source: RNAcentral